UUGGAAUAUUUUAUUUCACCCCCCUUAUCACCCUUUAGAUAUCAAAGAUAUUGUUGUUGAGUGAGCAGUAAUACGAAAAAGAUUUUUGAAGUUAGACCAUGAGAUUAAGAUUACUAUUUCGUACUUUUUUUUAGUAAUGUAAGUAAAAAAAUUUAGAGCCUCAUACAUAUAUUUUACUUUUAAGAGAUAUAACACUUCUGUGACUCUAUUAUGAUUAAGAAAGUUAAGUUAUUU
This 234-nucleotide long non-coding RNA is filed under the name Carica papaya (papaya). Its description in RNAcentral is "long non-coding RNA (CPAP_LNC006857)". The record is from RNAcentral. Lineage: Eukaryota; Viridiplantae; Streptophyta; Magnoliopsida; Brassicales; Caricaceae.